This 483-nucleotide ribosomal RNA is filed under the name uncultured bacterium. Its description in RNAcentral is "partial 16S ribosomal RNA". It matches the Rfam family "Bacterial small subunit ribosomal RNA", at positions 30 to 506 of the family's 1533-position model. The record is from RNAcentral.
AUUGAACGCUGGCGGCAGGCCUAACACAUGCAAGUCGAGCGGAUGAAGGGAGCUUGCUCCUGGAUUCAGCGGCGGACGGGUGAGUAAUGCCUAGGAAUCUGCCUGGUAGUGGGGGAUAACGUCCGGAAACGGGCGCUGAUACCGCAUACGUCCUGAGGGAGAAAGUGGGGGAUCUUCGGACCUCACGCUAUCAGAUGAGCCUAGGUCGGAUUAGCUAGUUGGUGGGGUAAAGGCCUACCAAGGCGACGAUCCGUAACUGGUCUGAGAGGAUGAUCAGUCACACUGGAACUGAGACACGGUCCAGACUCCUACGGGAGGCAGCAGUGGGGAAUAUUGGACAAUGGGCGAAAGCCUGAUCCAGCCAUGCCGCGUGUGUGAAGAAGGUCUUCGGAUUGUAAAGCACUUUAAGUUGGGAGGAAGGGCAGUAAGUUAAUACCUUGCUGUUUUGACGUUACCAACAGAAUAAGCACCGGCUAACUUCGU